UUAAGCGACUAAGCGUACACGGUGGAUGCCCUGGCAGUCAGAGGCGAUGAAGGACGUGCUAAUCUGCGAUAAGCGUCGGUGAGGUGAUAUGAACCGUUAUAACCGGCGAUUUCCGAAUGGGGAAACCCAGUGUGUUUCGACACACUAUCAUUAACUGAAUCCAUAGGUUAAUGAGGCGAACCGGGGGAACUGAAACAUCUAAGUACCCCGAGGAAAAGAAAUCAACCGAGAUUCCCCCAGUAGCGGCGAGCGAACGGGGAGGAGCCCAGAGCCUGAAUCAGUGUGUGUGUUAGUGGAAGCGUCUGGAAAGGCGCGCGAUACAGGGUGACAGCCCCGUACACAAAAAUGCACAUACUGUGAGCUCGAUGAGUAGGGCGGGACACGUGGUAUCCUGUCUGAAUAUGGGGGGACCAUCCUCCAAGGCUAAAUACUCCUGACUGACCGAUAGUGAACCAGUACCGUGAGGGAAAGGCGAAAAGAACCCCGGCGAGGGGAGUGAAAAAGAACCUGAAACCGUGUACGUACAAGCAGUGGGAGCCUCUUAAUGGGGUGACUGCGUACCUUUUGUAUAAUGGGUCAGCGACUUAUAUUCUGUAGCAAGGUUAACCGAAUAGGGGAGCCGAAGGGAAACCGAGUCUUAACUGGGCGUUAAGUUGCAGGGUAUAGACCCGAAACCCGGUGAUCUAGCCAUGGGCAGGUUGAAGGUUGGGUAACACUAACUGGAGGACCGAACCGACUAAUGUUGAAAAAUUAGCGGAUGACUUGUGGCUGGGGGUGAAAGGCCAAUCAAACCGGGAGAUAGCUGGUUCUCCCCGAAAGCUAUUUAGGUAGCGCCUCGUGAAUUCAUCUCCGGGGGUAGAGCACUGUUUCGGCAAAGGGGUCAUCCCGACUUACCAACCCGAUGCAAACUGCGAAUACCGGAGAAUGUUAUCACGGGAGACACACGGCGGUGCUAACGUCCGUCGUGAAGAGGGAAACAACCCAGACCGCCAGCUAAGGUCCCAAAGUCAUGGUUAAGUGGGAAACGAUGUGGGAAGGCCCAGACAGCCAGGAUGUUGGCUUAGAAGCAGCCAUCAUUUAAAGAAAGCGUAAUAGCUCACUGGUCGAGUCGGCCUGCGCGGAAGAUGUAACGGGGCUAAACCAUGCACCGAAGCUGCGGCAGCGACACUAUGUGUUGUUGGGUAGGGGAGCGUUCUGUAAGCCUGUGAAGGUGUACUGUGAGGUAUGCUGGAGGUAUCAGAAGUGCGAAUGCUGACAUAAGUAACGAUAAAGCGGGUGAAAAGCCCGCUCGCCGGAAGACCAAGGGUUCCUGUCCAACGUUAAUCGGGGCAGGGUGAGUCGACCCCUAAGGCGAGGCCGAAAGGCGUAGUCGAUGGGAAACAGGUUAAUAUUCCUGUACUUGGUGUUACUGCGAAGGGGGGACGGAGAAGGCUAUGUUGGCCGGGCGACGGUUGUCCCGGUUUAAGCGUGUAGGCUGGUUUUCCAGGCAAAUCCGGAAAAUCAAGGCUGAGGCGUGAUGACGAGGCACUACGGUGCUGAAGCGACAAAUGCCCUGCUUCCAGGAAAAGCCUCUAAGCAUCAGGUAACAUCAAAUCGUACCCCAAACCGACACAGGUGGUCAGGUAGAGAAUACCAAGGCGCUUGAGAGAACUCGGGUGAAGGAACUAGGCAAAAUGGUGCCGUAACUUCGGGAGAAGGCACGCUGAU
RNAcentral lists this ribosomal RNA (1707 nucleotides) under Escherichia coli. RNAcentral describes it as "23S ribosomal RNA". It matches the Rfam family "Bacterial large subunit ribosomal RNA", at positions 1 to 1755 of the family's 2925-position model. The record is from RNAcentral. Lineage: Bacteria; Pseudomonadati; Pseudomonadota; Gammaproteobacteria; Enterobacterales; Enterobacteriaceae.